This 520-nucleotide ribosomal RNA is filed under the name Aquilonastra batheri. RNAcentral's name for it is "partial 16S ribosomal RNA". It matches the Rfam family "Bacterial large subunit ribosomal RNA", at positions 1856 to 2564 of the family's 2925-position model. The record is from RNAcentral. Lineage: Eukaryota; Metazoa; Echinodermata; Asteroidea; Valvatida; Asterinidae.
UGCCUGCCCGGUGACUUAGUUAAACGGCCGCGGUAUUUUGACCGUGCAAAGGUAGCAUAAUCAUUUGCCUUUUAAAUGGGGGCUGGUAUGAAUGGCAAGACGGGAAUCAAACUGUCUCUCUCUUCAUGUAUUUUGAAAUUAAUAUUUCCGUGAAGAAGCGGAGAUGGAGUCGUAGGACGAGAAGACCCUAUCGAGCUUUAGUCGAAUAAUUAUAGGCUAGUGGUGGUAUUUUAUAUGCUAAUAAGUUAUUUUAUUAGUUUGAAAGGUACUGUUAAUAAUACUGAGGUUAUAUAUUGUAGACUUAGGUUGGGGCAACCGCGGAGAAUAAGAAUCCUCCGCUGAAUUAUUGUUAAAUAUUAUAUUUUCAAUAGUUAUGUUUAUUAGAAGUGAUCCACUUGUAAGUGAUUAAAAAAAUAAGUUACCGUAGGGAUAACAGCGUAAUUUUUUUGGAGAGUUCAUAUUGAUAAAGAAGUUUGCGACCUCGAUGUUGGAUCGGGAUUUCCUAGAGAUGCAGCAGUUU